CUGGGGUUUCCUUAGGGAGGUUGGAAGGUUUGUUCUUUCUCUCUUUGCAGUAAAUCUUGCAGGUGUGUGUUUUUUGGGUUCAUGCUGCUUGUAUGAGCUGUGAUGAUUACCAUGAAAAUUUGCAGCUUCACUUUUAAAACCAGUGAGAGCACAAACCCACCGGGAGGAACAAGCAAUUCCAGACGUACUGCUUUAGGAGGUGUAACACUCACCGGCGAGGUUUGUAGCUUCACUCCUGAGCCAGUGAGACCACGAAUCCACCAGCAGGAAAAAAAGAUUCCAAACAUGUCUGAAUGUCAGAAGAAACAAUUUCCAAACACACUGCCUUUAAGAACUGUAACACUCCCUGUGAGGGUCUAUGGCUUCAUUCUUUAAGUCAGUGAGACUAAGACGCCACCAAUUCGGGGCACAUUGGGACUAUAGUUACUGCCACCAUGCACAUCUAAACAACGUUCUGGAAUAUCUUCUUGCUUUGGUCAACCACCAGGCAUGGGAAAAUGGCUUCAUCGGUUGUCUUUCCACAAACAAGAUUCUAACUCAAAUAGCUCAAAGGACACCUUCUCCGGGAAACCUUCCCUGACUUCCGAC
This 588-nucleotide long non-coding RNA is filed under the name Homo sapiens (human). RNAcentral's name for it is "non-protein coding lnc-BMP6-106:159". The record is from RNAcentral. Lineage: Eukaryota; Metazoa; Chordata; Mammalia; Primates; Hominidae.